UGUUUCCGUUCGCAAAGUUUGAGAAGUCCAAAGUCUAGACACGGAACUUGGAUACAGUUUUCGGGCCAAGAUACAUGGAUCAGAAACUCUCUCCCCAUAGCCUUGCUGGGCAGUGUUGUGAUUUCUCAAAGAGAAAGAGGUCAUUCCCCUGAAAUGUGAAUGUGCAAAUUCACACUUCGACAAAUAUACAACAUAAACUCUACUUACAACAGAACAACGAUUACCAUAUUAUAGUUACAACCACAAAAGUACGCCAAGACAUUUAUUUUUCUUAUUGUUGUAUAUCAGCCCAGGUAAAAAACUGGGAACAUGAUGUAAUGUCCAACACACACUACAGGUAACACUUCCCUGGAGGUAUUUUGAAUACCACAUAUGUGCCGCAGGCAGUGUUGAUGCUGUUUGAGAAGCCACUGUGCCAAGUGCUCGUCAUAUGCAGCGCCUCACAUGCGUGACCUUGUCGAAGCUUGGUGAGCCGUCCGUGGC
This 483-nucleotide long non-coding RNA is filed under the name Triticum aestivum (bread wheat). Its description in RNAcentral is "long non-coding RNA (TAES_LNC028480)". The record is from RNAcentral. Lineage: Eukaryota; Viridiplantae; Streptophyta; Magnoliopsida; Poales; Poaceae.